Molecule: long non-coding RNA, 382 nt
Organism: Canis lupus familiaris (dog)
Lineage: Eukaryota; Metazoa; Chordata; Mammalia; Carnivora; Canidae
Exons: 3
Source: RefSeq, a predicted model, not a curated record
CUGCCAUCUACUUGGCAGUUACUGAAGGAGUCCUGGGAUUGCUGGGAAGCCCAGCCUGAGAGAAAGACCAGAAGACAGGAGUAGGAAAGUAUCAGGAUGUCAGAAUCCAGGAAACAUAUGCAGGGUUCUUAAGAGAAUGAAGACUAACUUGGUUUGGAGAAAAUUGGGAGAUUUUAUUAACUGGUUGAAGCCAGAAAGCCCCAAGGGAAACAAGCAAUAAGAGCCCUCCCUCACUUUGCUACAACAUUACAAGCAUCUUUCAGAAGUGCAGGUCAUCAGCAAUUCAUAGAGAAGUUCUAACCACAAUCAAGCUGUAAGGACACUUGUGAGAAGCUUUUCCAUCCGAGAAACACAAACAGUUCCAUCGAUCUUACUAACACCC